Long non-coding RNA from Globicephala melas (long-finned pilot whale), 516 nucleotides. RefSeq lists it as uncharacterized. Lineage: Eukaryota; Metazoa; Chordata; Mammalia; Artiodactyla; Delphinidae. The record is from RefSeq and is a predicted model, not a curated record.
CGACUACCAGAACCUAAGCAGCCUUCCUGCUGGGUUUGUACGACCCCUGCUGCCGCCUGCCCCCUGGUGCUGGGGGAUCCUGGGUUCGAUGCGCUGUCCGCUUCCAGCUAGGGGUGUGAUCCUGGAACAAGCCACCGUCUCUGAGCUCCAAUAAAUUCACCAAUAAACUCUGGGACGUAUCCUGACUCUCCUGGGCAGAGAAUAGGAAGCUGAAGAAAAAAGCAGAGAAACUCGGAGCUGAGCCCUGUUGGGUUCGGAAAGAAAUACCCAUAUUUCAGUGCUUGUGGAGUUGUGGCCACAGUAAGCCACCACCAGAGUGAACACCGUGAGUUCAGUGAUUCUCGCGUGACGGGAAAUCUUCGAAAGCUUCAGGAACUCAGGCUGACAAGAGAAAGAGAAGCUCCUCCCCCCAUUGCCUUGGCAUCCCACCAGAUCCAGCUACCCUGAAACUUCACAUCUCGUUGCAUGGGGACCUCCACAAAACAUGAAAGGAGGAAGGACCUCAUAAAGUUUUCC